UGUGCCUCCCGCCUGAGGUCUCGUGAUGUUGGUCAUAAGGUCUCUAGUGCCGACUGAGCCAGCAGCUGCGUUUGGAGCAUGGCCUCGGAGCAGGAUGUGCGAGCACAGCUGCAGCGCGCUGGCCAGGAUCAUCUCCUUCGCUUCUGGGGUGAUUUGGCUCCGGAGUCUAGAGCGGCGCUACUGGCGGAGCUCGCCUCACUGGAACCCGAUGCCCUGCGUGAGCACUGCCAGCGCGCCUCGGCUGCCUGCGCGCAAGUCCCGGGCCCUCUGCCCGACCUGGAGGCGCGCCUGCAGCCCCUGCCCCCGGAACUCGUAGGCAGCGCGAUCCGCUGCGACCUAGAGACACGCCUGCGGUGGGAAGAGGAAGGUUUCCGACAGAUUGCUCUGAACAAGGUGGCUGUCCUGCUGCUGGCCGGUGGGCAGGGCACUCGCUUGGGCGUCACCUACCCCAAGGGCAUGUAUCAAGUAGGGUUGCCCAGCCAGAAGACCCUGUACCAACUGCAGGCAGAGCGGAUCCGCCGCGUUGAACAGUUGGCUGGCCAGCGACUGGGAACCCACUGCACCGUGCCCUGGUACAUCAUGACCAGUGAGUUCACACUGGGACCCACCAUCGAGUUCUUCAAGGAGCAUGACUUCUUCCACCUAGACCCCGAUAACGUGGUCCUGUUCGAGCAGCGUAUGCUACCCGCUGUGACCUUUGAGGGCAAGGCCAUACUGGAACGGAAAGACAAAGUUGCUAUGGCGCCAGAUGGCAAUGGUGGCUUGUAUAGUGCACUGGCUGACCACCAGAUCCUUCAGGACAUGAAGCAGCGGGGCGUGGAGUUUGUGCACGUGUAUUGUGUGGACAACAUCCUGGUGCGGCUGGCUGACCCAGCCUUCAUAGGCUUCUGUGUGCUUCGCGGAGCAGACUGUGGCGCCAAGGUGGUGGAGAAAGCAUACCCCGAGGAGCCUGUGGGCGUGGUGUGCCAGGUGGAUGGUGUCCCCCAGGUGGUGGAAUACAGCGAGAUUAGCCCUGAGACUGCUGGGCUGCGAGGGGCUGACGGGAGCUUGCUCUACAAUGCAGGCAACAUCUGCAACCAUUUCUUCACCCGCGACUUCCUGGAUAUGGUCACCAGGGAGUUUGAGCCCUUGCUGAAGCUGCAUGUGGCUGUGAAGAAGGUCCCGUACGUGGAUGAGGAGGGAAAUCUGGUAAAGCCGCUAAGACCGAAUGGGAUAAAGAUGGAGAAGUUUGUGUUUGAUGUGUUCCAGUUUGCUAAGAACUUCGCUGCCUUUGAAGUAUCUCGAGAGGAGGAAUUUUCCCCACUGAAGAACGCAGACACAGCCAGCAGGGACAACCCGUCCACCUCCAGGAGAGCCUUGUUGACUCAGCACUACCGCUGGGCUCUGCAGGCCGGAGCCCACUUCCUGGAUGAGCAUGGAGUCCAACUUCCUGAGCAAUCUGGCUUGCUCCCAAAUGGAGACCCUCCAGCCAUCUGUGAGAUUUCGCCCUUGGUGUCAUACUCUGGAGAGGGGCUGGAGAAGUACCUGCAAGGCCAAAAACUCCAGUCUCCAUUUCUUCUGGAUGAGGACCGGGCCAGGCUGCUGCAGCCACACGAAUGCUAACCUGCUUGCUCCCAGCCUCUCCAGCCCUGGGGGGUCCUAGGGUACCGAUACCGCUCUGGCCCAGGCUCUCAGUAGAAAUACUGGCCUGCAGGAUACGGAAGGGCGCAUGCUAGUUUACAUCACAAGGCCUGGAGCAGGAGACGGCCCCUGGGGAGAUCAAAGUCUCAGGCUCUUCUUGAAUAAACAAUG
Molecule: RNA transcript, 1791 nt
Organism: Microtus ochrogaster (prairie vole)
Lineage: Eukaryota; Metazoa; Chordata; Mammalia; Rodentia; Cricetidae
Gene: Uap1l1
Gene name: UDP-N-acetylglucosamine pyrophosphorylase 1 like 1
Exons: 10
Source: RefSeq, a predicted model, not a curated record